GGCAGGCCUAACACAUGCAAGUCGAGCGGAAACGAGUUAUCUGAACCUUCGGGGAACGAUAACGGCGUCGAGCGGCGGACGGGUGAGUAAUGCCUAGGAAAUUGCCCUGAUGUGGGGGAUAACCAUUGGAAACGAUGGCUAAUACCGCAUAAUGCCUACGGGCCAAAGAGGGGGACCUUCGGGCCUCUCGCGUCAGGAUAUGCCUAGGUGGGAUUAGCUAGUUGGUGAGGUAAUGGCUCACCAAGGCGACGAUCCCUAGCUGGUCUGAGAGGAUGAUCAGCCACACUGGAACUGAGACACGGUCCAGACUCCUACGGGAGGCAGCAGUGGGGAAUAUUGCACAAUGGGCGCAAGCCUGAUGCAGCCAUGCCGUGUGUGUGAAGAAGGCCUUCGGGUUGUAAAGCACUUUCAGUCGUGAGGAAGGUGGUGUAGUUAAUAGCUGCAUUAUUUGACGUUAGCGACAGAAGAAGCACCGGCUAACUCCGUGCCAGCAGCCGCGGUAAUACGGAGGGUGCGAGCGUUAAUCGGAAUUACUGGGCGUAAAGCGCAUGCAGGUGGUUUGUUAAGUCAGAUGUGAAAGCCCGGGGCUCAACCUCGGAAUAGCAUUUGAAACUGGCAGACUAGAGUACUGUAGAGGGGGGUAGAAUUUCAGGUGUAGCGGUGAAAUGCGUAGAGAUCUGAAGGAAUACCGGUGGCGAAGGCGGCCCCCCGGACAGAUACUGACACUCAGAUGCGAAAGCGUGGGGAGCAAACAGGAUUAGAUACC
RNAcentral lists this ribosomal RNA (766 nucleotides) under Vibrio sp. RKEM 562. RNAcentral describes it as "bacterial SSU rRNA". It matches the Rfam family "Bacterial small subunit ribosomal RNA", at positions 41 to 786 of the family's 1533-position model. The record is from RNAcentral. Lineage: Bacteria; Pseudomonadati; Pseudomonadota; Gammaproteobacteria; Vibrionales; Vibrionaceae.